CUUGCUUCUCUUGAGAGCGGCGGACGGGUGAGUAAUGCCUAGGAAUCUGCCUGGUAGUGGGGGAUAACGUUCGGAAACGGACGCUAAUACCGCAUACGUCCUACGGGAGAAAGCAGGGGACCUUCGGGCCUUGCGCUAUCAGAUGAGCCUAGGUCGGAUUAGCUAGUUGGUGGGGUAAUGGCUCACCAAGGCGACGAUCCGUAACUGGUCUGAGAGGAUGAUCAGUCACACUGGAACUGAGACACGGUCCAGACUCCUACGGGAGGCAGCAGUGGGGAAUAUUGGACAAUGGGCGAAAGCCUGAUCCAGCCAUGCCGCGUGUGUGAAGAAGGUCUUCGGAUUGUAAAGCACUUUAAGUUGGGAGGAAGGGUUGUAGAUUAAUACUCUGCAAUUUUGACGUUACCGACAGAAUAAGCACCGGCUAACUCUGUGCCAGCAGCCGCGGUAAUACAGAGGGUGCAAGCGUUAAUCGGAAUUACUGGGCGUAAAGCGCGCGUAGGUGGUUUGUUAAGUUGGAUGUGAAAUCCCCGGGCUCAACCUGGGAACUGCAUUCAAAACUGACUGACUAGAGUAUGGUAGAGGGUGGUGGAAUUU
Molecule: ribosomal RNA, 594 nt
Filed under: uncultured bacterium
Lineage: Bacteria
Description: bacterial SSU rRNA
Rfam family: Bacterial small subunit ribosomal RNA
Source: RNAcentral